This 408-nucleotide long non-coding RNA is filed under the name Calidris pygmaea (Spoon-billed sandpiper). RNAcentral describes it as "lncRNA (ENSCPGG00000016454.1)". The record is from RNAcentral. Lineage: Eukaryota; Metazoa; Chordata; Aves; Charadriiformes; Scolopacidae.
GGAACACUCUAGGAAGAAUGGAGCUGUUCUAAUGGAGGAUAACUUGCUCUUCAGAUGAAAGUAUUUCUUGCUCAUCUCAUACAAAAUGAGUGUUAACAGUGCAAGCAGCCAACUUUUGUUCUCGUGUGCAUCAGGUCUGAGCUUUCCUGCCUGCCUCAUCCUGCGACAUGGGCUUUGGUGGCAGAUCCUCCGCUGCACCUCAAGAUCCAUCCAGAAGGGUUGGGAUGGGAAGCCACCCUGCACCUUCUGUGGUCAUCUUCUGCUCAUUUCUGCAAGAGCAGAUGCAGCUGUGCUUGGUCCUUCAUGCUCUUUGCUGACCUUCUAUCAGCGAGUGGAAAAACAUUCCCUCUGAGGUGCUUGGAUAGGGGAAGAAUAGACAGUAGUUGAAUUGAGAAAGUUCUUUGGCCA